GCCGGUGGAUCUUCUGAAACAAAACUAGUUUAAUGCUGCUCUUGUAGAAAUGGUUGCUACUGAUUUACACUCUUUUUCAAUAGUUCAAGACAGGGGAUUCAGGAAAUACAGAAAGACACUGUACUACAGUAUGUUCUAUCCAGUAGGACUACCAUCUCCAGGAAAAUCACUCCAAAGCGUUUGGAAAAGAUCAGAAAAAAAAAAAAUUUAAGUUGAAAAGGAAAAGUUUUGAGUAAGGAACAGAAGCUUUCAAUUUACAGUGGUCUAUUCAUUUUAACCCUUCUGUUCCUCACUGAAAACCUUCCUUUUCUACUUUUUUAGAAAGGAAAGAAAAAGGUGCAGUGGUCUCUUAUUCCGGAGCUGUAGAAACAUUUUUAAAAUGCCCCAGCAGUGUGUCUCACUACAGACUGCUGGACAUCAAUGCCAACAACCAGCUAUAUGUCCAUCACAUGCCACUACUUAGAACACUUUAAAUUGUCCUCUCACCUCCUGGACUGUUUUUACUGAGAGGCACACUGCAACUCACCUAGCAAGUGAACUGACAAGAGUAACAGAUUUUUAUUUUGCUAACUGAAAAUAAGUCAUUUUUAAUGAUGACUUUACAACAACGGUAUUACAAUACGUAUUUAUGUAUUUUUACAGAUUUGUGACAGCAUCCAAAGCCAUUCUAAUGGCAAAAGGCCUCCAGAGGAUUAUGGCAAGGAGGCAAAGGACACCCUCCAUCCAUGAGCCAAUCCAGAAAUUGGUCAACUGCUUGGCCAAUCAGCUCAACAGUCACUUUGGCAGUGUGGAGUUUGAUGGGAGAUUGGCAGAUGCAAACCUUUUGGACCCUAGGUUAAAAAACAGGCAUUUGUUAACAUCCAAGCCGGGGAUGAAGCUGUGAAAAGGGUAAGAGCAGCUGCAACAAGUGCCCAUCUCAGCACAAGUGGGGGGCUAGUUUCUGGGAAGACUUUGAUGAAAGAGUGGCCAGCAGGAGAGCCAGACCUACUUCAAGAAACACCAGCUCUGAGGCCAUGACAGAAAUAAGGGCUUACCUGGCCGAGCCCCUUAUCCCCCGGACAGAUGAUUCUCUGGCAAGGUGGAAAACACGUGCAGAUGUGUAUAAUCUCUGUGAAAUUAUGAAGCACAGGCUUUGCAUUGUAGCGACAUCUGUUCCAUCAGAAUGGAUUUUCUCCAAAGCUGAACAAAUUGUGACAGAGGAGAAACAGGCUCAGUCCAACAAAGGACAUGCCUUUGGACCAAUGGGAAUGGGGAGCCAUGUCCUUGUGGACCAAUGGGAUUGGGCUGGGACUUGUUUUGGCACUCUACUUCCCUAGAUAAGCCAGAAGAAACGAGAGCAAGAGAGAUUGGAACCAACAGGAAAUAUACCUCGUGGAGGCAGGAGAGCAAGGAACGAGAAGAGAGGAUGUGUCGCUAGCACCCUGGACAACCUGACCUCCCCGAGAGCCAGCUGACCGAGCCAGGACGACUGCGAAGCACAGCAACACUUGGAGCACAAAGGCGAACCCCAUUCACACCCUGGGAUAGUAGGGUGGCGCCACCUGCUCCUCAGGGAAAUUGGCACUAUUGACAUCUGGAGCCACUAGGACUGAGGGUCAGUGGAGGAGGACGUGGCCCCGUAGAGGAAUCCGCAAACACACUCCCAACAAAGCGACACCCUGAAGAGUUUUAUAUUUUUAGCUUAGUAUUAAUAAGGUUUGUUAUAUUUUUCCUUAUUCCAGCCUCUGCCUCUUAUGUAACUCCUCCGCCUCUCUCCCACUGAAAAAGAACUGGGUUUAAAUUACAGUAUUUUAGUAAUUAUGUAUUAGAGUUCCUGGGCACUUCAAUAUCCAGGUGUUAUUGUCGGGCAGCUUAAUUAAUUAUUCCACCAGUAGAGCCCUUCACAGCUACAGUUCACACGUCUGUGUUACUAUUUUAUUGCAAUGUAUGUACUUGUAAUUAUUUUGAAGCACUGACUGGAGUUUUUGUGAAUUGUGAAUGUUAAACUGUGUGAUGUGAAACAACCAAAGACUUUCUAUAAAACAUCUGUGUAUAUUUUGUUGAAUAAUUAAUACAAUAAACCUGCA
Esox lucius (northern pike) is the source of this 2066-nucleotide long non-coding RNA. Lineage: Eukaryota; Metazoa; Chordata; Actinopteri; Esociformes; Esocidae. The record is from Ensembl.